Molecule: transfer RNA, 72 nt
Organism: Ovis aries (sheep)
Lineage: Eukaryota; Metazoa; Chordata; Mammalia; Artiodactyla; Bovidae
Rfam family: tRNA
About the family: Transfer RNA (tRNA) molecules are approximately 80 nucleotides in length. Their secondary structure includes four short double-helical elements and three loops (D, anti-codon, and T loops). Further hydrogen bonds mediate the characteristic L-shaped molecular structure. tRNAs have two regions of fundamental functional importance: the anti-codon, which is responsible for specific mRNA codon recognition, and the 3' end, to which the tRNAs corresponding amino acid is attached (by aminoacyl-tRNA synthetases). tRNAs cope with the degeneracy of the genetic code in two manners: having more than one tRNA (with a specific anti-codon) for a particular amino acid; and 'wobble' base-pairing, i.e. permitting non-standard base-pairing at the 3rd anti-codon position.
Source: Rfam
UCCCUAGUAGCUCAGCUGGUAAAGAAUCCGCCUGCAAUGCGGAAGACCUAUGUUCAAUCCCUGGAUUGGGAA